CAAUGUGUAGCUUAAUUAAAGCGUCACGCUUACACCGAGAAAACAUCUGUGAAACUCAGAUCAUAUUGA
Molecule: transfer RNA, 69 nt
Filed under: Ecnomiohyla minera (Guatemala treefrog)
Lineage: Eukaryota; Metazoa; Chordata; Amphibia; Anura; Hylidae
Description: tRNA-Val
Rfam family: tRNA
About the family: Transfer RNA (tRNA) molecules are approximately 80 nucleotides in length. Their secondary structure includes four short double-helical elements and three loops (D, anti-codon, and T loops).
Source: RNAcentral